Molecule: transfer RNA, 76 nt
Filed under: Candidatus Obscuribacterales bacterium
Lineage: Bacteria; Bacillati; Candidatus Melainabacteria; Candidatus Obscuribacterales
Description: tRNA-Ala
Rfam family: tRNA
About the family: Transfer RNA (tRNA) molecules are approximately 80 nucleotides in length.
Source: RNAcentral
GGGGGAUUGGCUCAGUUGGUAGAGCGUCUCGUUUGCACCGAGAAGGUCAGCGGUUCGAAUCCGCUAUCCUCCACCA